UGUUUAUCUUCUUCAUAACAGCAUGAUACUGUUGUUUCAUAUUCAAAUUUUAAAACAGCUGUCCUGCAGGUCAUUUUCUGCAACUCUGCAUCUUCAAGAACAGCGAGAAAGAAGAUCCACGGAACUAUGGGCAGUCAGCCUAAUCUCCAUUCACAAGAAGAUAAUGGAAUAAAUCCUCCUGGCAGUUAUGUGUUGAUAGAGAAAGCUAUUUAAACUCUACCUCGAUGACUGGAAAAGAAAGUUACCAAAACAUAAAGAGGACUGGGUGUGGGAGAAGAAAAAGAACCCCGGGAGGAAAAGAAUAUGUAGCUCUGUUUUGAAACAGCGAACUUUAUCAACUUCUAUUUUCUUAAAAAACAAGGAAAAUCAUGUAAAGACAAACUCUAACUCCUUUGAAAAUGCAUGUACGCAGGAUUUAAUGUGAGAAGAUGAAAGAGACUGAGACAUUGAGAAAGCUGAAGUGUAGGAGGCAUGUAUCACUCCUGUUAUUGUUGUUGCAGAAUUGCAAUUGUCCACAGGGAACUGUCUUGUUAAGGGAAAAUGCUUGAAAAUUUGUGUGAAAUGAGUGUUAAAGUCAGGCUUAAGAAGACAAUUUUACUAUUGAAAAAUAUCACUACUGAGAAGGAGUUCUACCUAUUCUACUGUAAUUAUUCAUUUACUGAAAACUAUGAAAGUUUUAAGGGAGAAUAAGCAUUAACUAAAUUGUAACUUGCUGUUGUAAUUCCAAACAAUCCAUUUUGUAUGGAGAAGUAUAAAGCAUAACUAAGUCAUGACUAACAACAUAAAAGAUGCUACUGUUUUCUCUUCUGCCCAUUUAUCCAAUGUUAUCACAGGUAGUAAUUAAACUCUUAAAAUAAAGCAGAAAUUCUACUUUUUUUUUGCUUAAUAAUAGUUGAUUUUAGAGCUGUGAACAAUCAUUAGAUCUUAAUUUCCUCAUUUUGCCAAAUAGUAACAUAUCUUUGUAUGCAGUAGCCCUCCAAAUUUCAAAUAAUGACUAUGUCAGCCAGAUUUGA
Molecule: long non-coding RNA, 1013 nt
Organism: Dromaius novaehollandiae (emu)
Lineage: Eukaryota; Metazoa; Chordata; Aves; Casuariiformes; Dromaiidae
Exons: 3
Source: RefSeq, a predicted model, not a curated record